UCCCAGACUCCUACGGGAGGCAGCAGUGGGGGAUAUUGCACAAUGGGGGGAACCCUGAUGCAGCGACGCCGCGUGGGUGAAGGAGCGUUUCGGCGCGUAAAGCUCUAUCAGCAGGGAAGAAGAUGACGGUACCUGACCAAGAAGCCCCGGCUAACUACGUGCCAGCAGCCGCGGUAAUACGUAGGGGGCAAGCGUUAUCCGGAUUUACUGGGUGUAAAGGGAGCGCAGACGGCAGUGCAAGUCUGGAGUGAAAGCCCGGGGCCCAACCCCGGAACUGCUCUGGAAACUGUGCGGCUAGAGUACUGGAGGGGCAGGCGGAAUUCCUAGUGUAGCGGUGAAAUGCGUAGAUAUUAGGAGGAACACCAGUGGCGAAGGCGGCCUGCUGGACAGUAACUGACGUUGAGGCUCGAAAGCGUGGGGAGCAAACAGGAUUAGAUACCCCCGUACAC
This 449-nucleotide ribosomal RNA is filed under the name uncultured bacterium. Its description in RNAcentral is "partial 16S ribosomal RNA". It matches the Rfam family "Bacterial small subunit ribosomal RNA", at positions 329 to 795 of the family's 1533-position model. The record is from RNAcentral.